Erinaceus europaeus (western European hedgehog) is the source of this 276-nucleotide long non-coding RNA. RefSeq lists it as uncharacterized. The transcript has 2 exons. The record is from RefSeq and is a predicted model, not a curated record. NCBI's taxonomy places the organism in Eukaryota, Metazoa, Chordata, Mammalia, Eulipotyphla, Erinaceidae.
AUUUAAAGGAGCUACUUCAAGUGUUACAGCAGCCACACCCUGAGUGCCAAACCGGUUAUUCAACUUCUCCUAUGUAGCUACUGUGAGGAUACAAACCCGAGCCCAGGAAGCUACCAGGUUCCAGAUGCUAACAUGAUGCCAUCUGGACUUCCAAGGGCAGACGACCAGUGUCUGCUGGAGCCCCACCUCCCCAGAUCCCUGCCCCACUAGGGAAAGAGAGAGGCAGGCCGGGAAUGUGAAUUGACCUGUCCACAUCCAUGUUUAGUGAGUAAGCAA